UGAUACCAUAGUCAAAAGGGCAUGCGUUUCAUACUUGCAUGAAAAAACAUGAUUUUAGGAUUGCGGGAGCACAAAGUACGGAGCAAUCCGUAGGUAUCA
Molecule: small RNA, 99 nt
Filed under: Muricomes intestini
Lineage: Bacteria; Bacillati; Bacillota; Clostridia; Lachnospirales; Lachnospiraceae
Description: Clostridiales-1 RNA
Source: RNAcentral